AGGACGAACGCUGGCGGCGUGCUUAACACAUGCAAGUCGAGCGGAAAGGCCCUUCGGGGUACUCGAGCGGCGAACGGGUGAGUAACACGUGAGUAACCUGCCCUAGCUCUGGGAUAGCUCCGGGAAACCGGGAUUAAAUACCAGAUACGACCACUUUAGACAUCUGUCGUGGUGGAAAGGAUUCCGGCUAGGGAUGGGCUCGCGGCCUAUCAGCUUGUUGGUGGGGUAACGGCCUACCGAAGGCGACGACGGGUA
Molecule: ribosomal RNA, 255 nt
Filed under: uncultured bacterium
Lineage: Bacteria
Description: partial small subunit ribosomal RNA
Rfam family: Bacterial small subunit ribosomal RNA
Source: RNAcentral